GCUAAUACCGCAUAAUGCCUACGGGCCAAAGAGGGGGACCUUCGGGCCUCUCGCGUCAAGAUAUGCCUAGGUGGGAUUAGCUAGUUGGUGAGGUAAUGGCUCACCAAGGCGACGAUCCCUAGCUGGUCUGAGAGGAUGAUCAGCCACACUGGAACUGAGACACGGUCCAGACUCCUACGGGAGGCAGCAGUGGGGAAUAUUGCACAAUGGGCGAAAGCCUGAUGCAGCCAUGCCGCGUGUAUGAAGAAGGCCUUCGGGUUGUAAAGUACUUUCAGUUGUGAGGAAGGGGGUGUCGUUAAUAGCGGCAUCUCUUGACGUUAGCAACAGAAGAAGCACCGGCUAACUCCGUGCCAGCAGCCGCGGUAAUACGGAGGGUGCGAGCGUUAAUCGGAAUUACUGGGCGUAAAGCGCAUGCAGGUGGUUCAUUAAGUCAGAUGUGAAAGCCCGGGGCUCAACCUCGGAACUGCAUUUGAAACUGGUGAACUAGAGUACUGUAGAGGGGGGUAGAAUUUCAGGUGUAGCGGUGAAAUGCGUCGAGAUCUGAAGGAAUACCAGUGGCGAAGGCGGCCCCCUGGA
This 576-nucleotide ribosomal RNA is filed under the name uncultured Vibrio sp. RNAcentral's name for it is "bacterial SSU rRNA". It matches the Rfam family "Bacterial small subunit ribosomal RNA", at positions 162 to 733 of the family's 1533-position model. Lineage: Bacteria; Pseudomonadati; Pseudomonadota; Gammaproteobacteria; Vibrionales; Vibrionaceae. The record is from RNAcentral.